This 267-nucleotide ribosomal RNA is filed under the name uncultured bacterium. RNAcentral's name for it is "partial 16S ribosomal RNA". It matches the Rfam family "Bacterial small subunit ribosomal RNA", at positions 87 to 354 of the family's 1533-position model. The record is from RNAcentral.
AUAACUUAGUGGCGGACGGGUGAGUAACGCGUGGGGAACCUGCCUUGCACCGGGGGAUAACACUUAGAAAUAGGUGCUAAUACCGCAUAAGCGCACAGGGCCGCAUGGCCCGGUGUGAAAAACUCCGGUGGUGUAAGAUGGACCCGCGUCUGAUUAGCUUGUUGGCGGGGUAGGGGCCCACCAAGGCGACGAUCAGUAGCCGGCCUGAGAGGGUGGACGGCCACAUUGGGACUGAGACACGGCCCAAACUCCUACGGGAGGCAGCAG